Peromyscus maniculatus bairdii (prairie deer mouse) is the source of this 2760-nucleotide long non-coding RNA. RefSeq lists it as uncharacterized. The record is from RefSeq and is a predicted model, not a curated record. NCBI's taxonomy places the organism in Eukaryota, Metazoa, Chordata, Mammalia, Rodentia, Cricetidae.
GUUUAGCGGACCUGUCUGCUAGGUGCGGCUCUGAGAAAGAGGGUCCCCUUUGAAGAAGCCUCCCAGGACUCCUGGAGAGAGUUUGGGACCUUGCUGCCGGACUGCUUCGCACAACACUGGCUGCUUCAGUUGCUAUGCAACCUGAACCUGAGGAAUCACUGACUACUGCUCUGGACCCUGCCAAUGCACCUCUGCCUAUCCGACCUCCUGCUCCUGCUCCUCAGGUGUCUGCCCCUUUGGCUCCUCCUCUAGCCCCCUCCUCAUCUCCCGGGCUGCUCCAACCACCCAACUCUGGCUCCCACCUUCACUCCUCCUGUCACUCACUCUCUAGCUGCCCUGAGGAGCACAGAUGAGUUUGGGAGCAGGCUAGGACACAUGCAGAUGAGGUUCAUCAAACUAAUGCUGCCCAUCCACCUGGGGCCGAGGUGGUUCCCAAUAAUUCAAGAUGAGGAAGAAAAUCAAUCUAAUUUCUUAGAAUGGCUUACAAAGGCUCUCUUACAAUAUACUAGCCUAGAUCCUGACAGCCCAGAGAACAGACAGCUCCUUAUGACCCCCUUUGUCUUACAGAGCUUCCCCUACAUCAGGGCUAAACUUAACCGUCUGGGAAGAGGGCCUCUGACCCCACAGGCAGAAGUCUUAGUGGUGGCAUUUAAGGUGCACCAUGGGAGAUGAGAAAGCCCAUAAACAGAACUGCCAAAUGCUGGCACACACUAUCCACCAGCUUCCCAAAGGCCUCCAGGUCACUGUUUUAAGUGUGGUAGAGAAGGCCACUGGGCUUGUGCCUGCCCUGCCCCACAUGGACCACCAUCUGGGCCUUGUCCCGAGUGCCACCAAGAGGGACACUGGUCAGCUGACUGCCCCCAUGCACCUCGUGACAUGGGGACAUCAAAUGAAGACCCACCCUCCAGUCAAUCUCCUAGGCUUGGCCAUGGGUGAGUAUUGAAGGUGCCAUUUCUCACGGGGAACUAAGGGUAGCCAUUAUAGUAUCAGGGUGAUUCAUUUCAUUCCUUUUAGACACUGGAGCUGCUUACUCAGUCCUGAGGGAGUUUGGGGUCCCACCUCUCCUUCUCAUCUCCCUAUUGUCGGGUAGGGGGAGAGCUUUACCUACCUCAUCAGACCCCACCACUUAAUUGUAUUUCCAGGGGUAUCCCUCUCACAUACACAUUUUUAGUUGUGCCAACCUGUCCUGUGUCCCUAAUGGGAAGAGAUUUUCUAGCUAAGGUAGGAGCUUUUAUUUCGUUUGCUCCCCCAUUUGCCUUACUCCAGACUCAUCAGCAGCUUCUCUCCUUCUCCUCCUAGUCACCCAGCCUACUAGCUCUCACAUUUCAUUUCCCUUGCCAGUCUCUCAGGUGGACCCCAAAGUCCGGGACACCCAGAACCCUUCUAUCGCUAGGCACCAUCCCCCUAUUAUUAUCCAGCUGCAGGACCCUACCAGGAACAUUACCCAAGCUCAGUAACCUCUCUCACUCCAGAGCCUUAGGGAACUUAAGCCUAUCAUUUCUGACCAUCUCAGAAAAAAGCUGCUCUAGAUUUCUCUCUCUCUCUCUCUCUCUCUCUCUCUCUCUCUCUCUCUCUCUCUCUCUCUCUCAUUCUCUCUCCUCUCUCUCUCUCUCUUGCUAAUACUAACCAAUAGAUAACAGAGUACUAAACAUUAUAAUUUCAUAGCUACCAGCUCAAGGUUUUAAAUUCCCUGUGACUGCUUCUUAAUAUGUUUAAAAAUUCUUCCAAGCUCCAGAGCCAUCUUGAAUCCACCUGGAUAGGUCAGAUCCACUUCAGAUAAGUAUAAUUCAAACUUUCCUGGUCCCAGGGACCGGUCCCCCCCCCCCCGUCACCCUGGGACCCUGCAGGGACCCCCCUUCAAGGUAAUAUUUUUUUUUCUAAACUUCCUCUUCUGCCUCACCAGCACCUUGUCAGACCCAAAUAGUUAUAGAGCCUGAAGCAGCAGAAGGUGAUGGACAAUUACCAAAGCAGUGGAGGACAAUCCAUUACCCCAGGGCAUCCGGUUGCCCCGAAAGCCCCCUUUCCAACCCCCCAAAAUUAACUGACGCCCAACGAGUCAGCCAGAAGCAGUUUCAGGAGACACAGCGCCCCCAUUUCCUUUCACCCACCAUUUUUUAUAAGAACAAAGAGUCUGGUAUGUUAGAAUUCCUAGCCACUCCCCCAGCUACAUGACCACACAUGUGCUAUCCAGUAGCCAGGCAAAAUGCUUAGUCAUCCCAGGGCCUUACGUCCUAUGUAAUUCGUGUGCUGCAUGAUCAUGUAACUUGCACACAGUGUGAUCACAUAAUCUAUGUGCAUGCGUGGCAUAGCUACAUAAGCCCAUAUGUGCAUGUGCAGGGGAAUCCAUAAAAGUGGGUUCCACCUAUUCCUCCCCCCUCUUCCUGCAUGGUCAUUCCAUAGGCUUAUGCACACCUUCUCUAUUUCCUUUCCUUAAUAAACUUUUUCUUUUGUUUGUUUUUCAAGACAGGGUUUCUCAGCAUAGUUUUGGUGCCUGUCCUGGAUCUUGCUCUGUAGACCAGGCUGGCCUUGAACUCACAGAGAUCCGCCUGCCUCUGCCUCCAAGUGCUGGGAUUAAAGGCAUGUGCCACUAUCACCUGGCUCCCUUAAUAAACUCUUCUAGUGGGUUUUGCUGUACUUCAUGGCUUGUCUCACAUGGUAAACAGUGCUGCUGUGGGAUGUCCUGUAUGCUGUAAAUAUAUGUUGCUAUGAUUGAUAAAUAAAAAGGUGAUUGACCAGUAGCCAGGCAGGAAGGAUCGUGUA